RNAcentral lists this ribosomal RNA (587 nucleotides) under Bacillus sp. (in: firmicutes). Its description in RNAcentral is "bacterial SSU rRNA". It matches the Rfam family "Bacterial small subunit ribosomal RNA", at positions 855 to 1443 of the family's 1533-position model. The record is from RNAcentral. Lineage: Bacteria; Bacillati; Bacillota; Bacilli; Caryophanales; Bacillaceae.
ACGCAUUAAGCACUCCGCCUGGGGAGUACGGCCGCAAGGCUGAAACUCAAAGGAAUUGACGGGGGCCCGCACAAGCGGUGGAGCAUGUGGUUUAAUUCGAAGCAACGCGAAGAACCUUACCAGGUCUUGACAUCCUCUGACAACCCUAGAGAUAGGGCUUCUCCUUCGGGAGCAGAGUGACAGGUGGUGCAUGGUUGUCGUCAGCUCGUGUCGUGAGAUGUUGGGUUAAGUCCCGCAACGAGCGCAACCCUUGAUCUUAGUUGCCAUCAUUAAGUUGGGCACUCUAAGGUGACUGCCGGUGACAAACCGGAGGAAGGUGGGGAUGACGUCAAAUCAUCAUGCCCCUUAUGACCUGGGCUACACACGUGCUACAAUGGACGGUACAAAGAGCUGCAAGACCGCGAGGUGGAGCUAAUCUCAUAAAACCGUUCUCAGUUCGGAUUGUAGGCUGCAACUCGCCUACAUGAAGCUGGAAUCGCUAGUAAUCGCGGAUCAGCAUGCCGCGGUGAAUNNNUUCCCGGGCCUUGUACACACCGCCCGUCACACCACGAGAGUUUGUAACACCCGAAGUCGGUGGGGUAACCUUU